AAGACCACCGGAAAAGGAAAAAAUAGUGCAGCUGCCGCCAGUCAACAAAUUUUCUUUUUUUUCCCGUUAAAUUCCUCUCUUAAAUAUGGGUUUCUCAAUGUUUAUUUUCAUUUUUAAUGCCUCAACGGUCACAUUUUCAAAUGAUGAUUUCUUUCUGUGGGGUUUGCCUCCAAGAAGAUUGCCGAAGUGUAACUCAUUCAUUUGCUUCUUUGGUUGUUCUUUAAUCUUUCCUCUUAUUGGAAUUUGAUUCUUUUUUUGUGCAUCUUCGGUAACUGAACUUGGGGGUUUUGGUUUUUUAUUUUUGGGGGCCUAAAGUCACUCCGUCCUUGGUGAAUUCAAGUUGUGAGUUGUUAAGCAAGUGGGUUUACGUUGAAGUUGCAAUGACGGAGGAGAACUCUACAAUGAUUUCGGAGAGAUAGGCGGAUGCUAUUAAAUUUCUAACUUUCAGGAAGCUUAAUCAAGAAGAUGGUAAAGCCCCCGGAGCUGUUUCCUUGUGUGAUGUGGAUCUUGAUCAAGUUAGCGUUGAUUUUUUCCUCAAUUGUGCAAGAAAAGGUAGGGAAUGUCAACCCCAAAAUAUAGCCUCUACAUAUCUGCUUUAAAAUGGAUUGCAAUCAUCAGGUCAGGAUUUUUUUUUUUUGAGUUGGCGAACUUCUUGAACUAUCUGAAGCUAUUCGACAUUAUCACCACAACACUGUUCACUCAUAUGGUAUAUUCAGACUUGCACAGACAUUAUUUUCUGUUCAAUGGUCACUAUUUUAUGAAUGUUCUGCACAUACAUUAAUUUCUGUUGAAUAGUUACUAUUUGUGAAUGUUCCACUUUCAGAGGUUUAUCUACUGCAACAUAGAAUUAUUCCAUAUGGUAUUGUUGUGCAGCACUUUUUACCUAUUCCAGAACUUUAUUUAGUGUGUUUAAUUAUCAAUGUUUAUUUUCAUUCUUGACGGUUUCCUUUUGGUAUUACGAGUAAUGCAAGUUCAAAUGAUGAAUGCUUUCUGGCUACAAAUCCUGAGCUCUCGGGUUUGCCUCCAGGAAGAUUGCCUGUCCCUAUUUCCACAUCACCAAUUUUGCAAACACUCUCAACGUCAGGAUCAAUUGAUACUGAACCAUUUGAAGAGCUGUCUAGUUUAUCCAAAUCUCAGUAUCUCAGUUCCACACAACAACAAGAGUUAACAGUUGACAACAUUGAGGAUUUUGAUGACGAUGAUGAUCUAGAUGAACUUGACAGUUGAAGAUAUUCAAGAAGAGUUCUCAAUGAUGCUGCUGAUCUCGUGCUUGGAUUGCCGUUAUUUGCUACUGAUUCCAUUAUCUACUUUCAAAAUGUAUUCUUUUCUUGCUUUUACGUGGAUGGAUGGGAGAUACUUAUACUUCAGGCUGUAUUUCUUCCUAGCUAUUGGCGAUGAUUAUCUCCGUGAAACAGCAUAUGAGAUCCUUCUGGCUGCUGCUGGACCUUCAGGAGGCCUCGUUGUACCUUCAAAGGACAUAAAGAAGAAGAAGACAUCUAGAUUGAUGAGGAAGCUGGGCCGUAGUAAAAGUGACAAAGUAAUGACCCAGUCACAAUAUUUAUCUGUACUGGUCAGUUCGUUGGAGACAAUGCGUGUCCAGAUGGAGAUUCCUGGAGGCCAUGGACGUCAGGACAAGACUUGGUCUCCUUAAUGCGAUGGUUGGAAAAGUGGGUAAAUGAUGUAUACAAUCUUGAUCCCACUGGAAUUGUUAUGUUGUAUUUCAUGUACCGAGUUUUCCAACAAAAAGUCAUAUAAAUGGCAAAAGAGACAAUUCAGUUAAACAUGUUGGAGGAGGAGGGGCUUAUAAAUUAUCCUGUUAUAGGGUUGGGGAGUCUGGGUGAAAAGCAAAUAAGCUAAGGGUUCUUUUAGCUAAUAUAGAAGAAUCUGAGUCCUUUCUCCCUCCUGCAGCAGAGAUGCAAAGGAUAAUGUUUAAAAUCUUUGAGAGAGAUCCCUAUGCCACUGGCAGAAAGGCCAGCUCGGGGUGACUUAACUGGUGAAGUAUGCCACCGUGCUGAUGGUUAUCACCUGAAUGUCAAAUUAUACGGGAAUCUACUUCUCAGUGUUUUUGAUGUUUUAGAUGAGGGAAAAGCUCACAGAGGUCAGUAAAACCCACUUGAAUGUCAUUCUCUCUAAUUCUUGCCAUUCUUGCUAUGCCUUAUGGUGUCAGGAUAAAGAUGAUCAUCUUGUCUCUUACACUGGAAAGUAGUACUCUUGGGAUGUCACCUUUCUAUUAAAAGAAGGAAGUUAAAGAAAUUUUGGAGCUUCUUAAGUCCACAUGCCGUAAUUUGGGAAUCAUAAAAACCAUCCACUACACUUGCUAUGCUUGGGUAUUAUUUUGACUGGUAUAAAUUGACAAAAAAGUUCCUUGUCCAGGUUUUGUUUGGAUUUCUUGGUUGUUGCUCGAGUCGGAACUCAUGUGGAAGAGGUCGCUGUCUCCUCUGCUCGUCUCGUCCCCGUUCGCUUCCCGCAACAAGGUCGGGAACCGAGAAUACACUGAUAUACAGCGUGAUACAGCGAUAUACACCAGCUAUAUAUUGUGUAUAAAUGCAACAUAAAUGGGCACAAAAAGCCCCCAAAAUUUCAGAAAUUGUAUUUUGUUACUUUGGGCCUAAGCCCUUUUUGCCUUUUAUUAUUAUUUGUUAGAUUAGGACAGGUGGAGGAUUGGGCGUAAAGUAAAGCCCACUAAAAAAUCAAAUUGCUAUGUUAGUUUAGGACAGGUACGAAAGGAAGAAUUGGGCCACAUAUGCAGAUGCAGCGUGAUACAGCAAUUACAUCAGCUGUAUAUUGUGUAUAAAUGCAGCAUAAAUGGGCCCAACAAACCCGCAAAAUUUCAGAAAUUGUAUUUUGUUAUUUCGGGCCUAAGCCCCUUUGUCUUUUUA
Molecule: RNA transcript, 2879 nt
Organism: Solanum pennellii
Lineage: Eukaryota; Viridiplantae; Streptophyta; Magnoliopsida; Solanales; Solanaceae
Gene name: protein unc-13 homolog
Exons: 10
Source: RefSeq, a predicted model, not a curated record